This 736-nucleotide long non-coding RNA is filed under the name Homo sapiens (human). RNAcentral's name for it is "non-protein coding lnc-EPS15-2:4". The record is from RNAcentral. Lineage: Eukaryota; Metazoa; Chordata; Mammalia; Primates; Hominidae.
CUUUGAAUACAUCCUGGAUCCAGAAGCCAAGAAGCCAGAUAACUGGAAGGAGGCUAUGGAUGGGGAGUGGGAAAGGCCUCUGAUGCCAAAUCCGAAGUAUAAGGACCUAAGAGAAGCAAUGGAGAGAACUUUAUGAAGAAAUUGAAAAAAGAAAGCAGGCAGAAGAGGCCAAGAAGUAAAAGGAAACGGAUGAAGAAAAGGAAGAUGGCAUUUGGGGAAUUGAAGAAGAGGGAAAUGAAUUGGAUCCCACUACAGAGCCAGGAAAUGACAGGGAGAUGCAGGAACAUGAUGCUGACAGAGUGUUUCUGGGUAAAAAUGAGGAAGUCCUUGUUGACCAGAAGGGUGAACUGUAACUGGGAUUGUGGAGGCAAAUGUUAGGAGGAGAAAUAUUCAUGAGGUUGGUACAAUUUGGGGAGCAAAAUAACUUACUUUUUUGAAAUAAACUUUGGAUUUGUAUUUCCAUCCCGCUCCCUUUGCUCUGUGUGACCUGGGGAAAGUCACACUGCCUCUUGGGGCUUCUGUUUCCUUAUUAGUAGAAAGGGAGUGAUCAUUUCUGUUUUAUGAGGUUGUAGGGAUUAAAUGAACUAAUGUAUGUAAAGUGCCUGAUACAAAUAGGUAGUCAAAAAAUGGUUGCUAUCACUACUAUCAUUAUUAUGGUGUUUAUGAAAUUAGUUAUCAGUAAAUAAACUUCUGUAUAAACUUAAUCCUCACUUUCAAUUUAUCCCAGGACACCCAA